GUCUGGUGAGGUCUGAGCUUCGUCGUGGCUGCCCAAAGUACACAUGGAUUUGAUUCAGCCAGCUGGUUUAUCGUGUAUGUUCGCGUAGUUGCUGUCCGCUGUGGUACGUUGUUGCGCGCAGCCUAUGCCUUAGAAAGAUCUUUCUGCAUCAAAUUCAAUUGGCCGUUCCUUGAUGCUGGUGUCGUGUUACCGAAGUUGCAUCAUUAUUAUGUUAAAUUGUCAUCGUGACUAUGCAGUUUACCGUUUAUAAGUUAAGAAGCAACAAAAACAAAUAUGGGAUGCUUAUGUCAAACAAAUAAUAAACAUGUUUUCGGGGUUGGGAAAGGAUUAAGGAAAGUGGAGAUGUUUGAGGGGGGAUAUUUCGAGUUUGGAUAAAACACAGUUAAUUUAUAACCCUACAAACAUAUCCCUACCAAUUAAUCUCCAAACCCACCAAACCUAUACCUUUCAAGUUCCAAUUCUUCAGACCCCACAAUCAUACACCUACCAACCCUCAAAUUUAUACCCUAAACCACAUAAACCAGUGUUAAACCCUAUGUCUGUAAUCAAUAAAAAAUUAUAAAUUAAA
Molecule: long non-coding RNA, 568 nt
Organism: Daphnia pulex (common water flea)
Lineage: Eukaryota; Metazoa; Arthropoda; Branchiopoda; Diplostraca; Daphniidae
Exons: 2
Source: RefSeq, a predicted model, not a curated record